AGCUUUGCACAGUGGCAGUAUUUGUAGCCAAUGAGGUUUAUCCAAGGCUCGAUUAUUGCUAAUUGAAAACUUUUCCCAAUACCCCGCCAUGACGACUUGAAAUACAGUCAGUGUUGGCAAUUUUUGGCAGUGUCUACGGAGA
RNAcentral lists this small nuclear RNA (142 nucleotides) under Aotus nancymaae (Ma's night monkey). Its description in RNAcentral is "U4 spliceosomal RNA (ENSANAG00000011168.1)". It matches the Rfam family "U4 spliceosomal RNA". Rfam says of the family: U4 small nuclear RNA (U4 snRNA) is a component of the major U2-dependent spliceosome. The structure of U4 snRNA from yeast and human has been reported. Lineage: Eukaryota; Metazoa; Chordata; Mammalia; Primates; Aotidae. The record is from Rfam by way of RNAcentral.